AUUGAACGCUGGCGGCAGGCCUAACACAUGCCAGUCGAGCGGAUGAAGGGAGCUUGCUCCUGGAUUCAGCGGCGGACGGGUGAGUAAUGCCUAGGAAUCUGCCUGGUAGUGGGGGAUAACGUCCGGAAAUGGGCGCUAAUACCGCAUACGUCCUGAGGGAGAAAGUGGGGGAUCUUCGGACCUCACGCUAUCAGAUGAGCCUAGGUCGGAUUAGCUAGUUGGUGGGGUAAAGGCCUACCAAGGCGACGAUCCGUAACUGGUCUGAGAGGAUGAUCAGUCACACUGGAACUGAGACACGGUCCAGACUCCUACGGGAGGCAGCAGUGGGGAAUAUUGGACAAUGGGCGAAAGCCUGAUCCAGCCAUGCCGCGUGUGUGAAGAAGGUCUUCGGAUUGUAAAGCACUUUAAGUUGGGAGGAAGGGCAGUAAGUUAAUACCUUGCUGUUUUGACGUUACCAACAGAAUAAGCACCGGCUAACUUCGUG
RNAcentral lists this ribosomal RNA (484 nucleotides) under uncultured bacterium. RNAcentral's name for it is "partial 16S ribosomal RNA". It matches the Rfam family "Bacterial small subunit ribosomal RNA", at positions 30 to 507 of the family's 1533-position model. The record is from RNAcentral.